This 28-nucleotide non-coding RNA is filed under the name Rattus norvegicus (Norway rat). Lineage: Eukaryota; Metazoa; Chordata; Mammalia; Rodentia; Muridae. The record is from RNAcentral.
UGAGAAAGGUGUACACUUGUUUCAAGUU